This 28-nucleotide non-coding RNA is filed under the name Mus musculus (house mouse). Lineage: Eukaryota; Metazoa; Chordata; Mammalia; Rodentia; Muridae. The record is from RNAcentral.
UAUCUCUGGGUCCAUCAGAAUCUUGUUC